UCAGACCCUUCCAAGCAUCAUGGCUGCUUCAGAGAGGUUUUGGUGUGACUUUAAGUGUGACACGUUUCUGUGAUACUAACCUGUUGUUUCAGGCUACUGUCCAUGCUUGUGGGUCUGGAGGGGACCAAAACGUGAUGCUUCAGAGGAAAUUUUGUAAUCCACAGUAACCCAGUUCAGUAAUGUGGCACACAUGAGGUGAAGAAAAUGGCAGAGCUUGUUUCCAAACCUACCAUAUCUCUCAUUCGAGUACUGACCAUCCAUUUUGUUAAGAAAUCGUGGUGACGUAUUAUUUUAAUUUCCUAGUGUUGUGCAAAGCAGAAAUUGGGUCUAUGGCAUUUUAAUGGCAGGCUUUUGGUGAUUGCUUUUGUGUUUAAUAUUGCAAGGUAAAAUGCAACUGGAGGCAAUAAAAGGAGGUGCUUUAAAUACA
Molecule: long non-coding RNA, 427 nt
Filed under: Anser brachyrhynchus (Pink-footed goose)
Lineage: Eukaryota; Metazoa; Chordata; Aves; Anseriformes; Anatidae
Description: lncRNA (ENSABRG00000007537.1)
Source: RNAcentral